GCCUCAUGGGAGUUAAAGUGUCACCAAAGGACAAUCAGCAGGUGGCAGACAGGACUUGGGGGACACGGAGCAGACACGGGUUCGAAUGACACCGAGUGACGAUGGAGACAAGCGCUGAUGAUGUCCUAAAGAGGAGAAUUUAGGGGUGAGUGGACGGGGGGCUCCGUCACCGAUAGGGGGGUCAGUCUGAUCACCACUGCUGGUCUUCUCAUGUGAAGAUAAUCAUAUAAUGUCCAGACCUGCUCAGCUCCCACUGUAGUGACCACAGGUUCCUCUUCUCACUCUCACUGAUCCCGUUGUUCUCCAGCCUGUGAGGAGACACAAGUGUGAGUUACAAACAGCAGGGGGCGCCACACACACACUGGACUGUCACACUGACACGCCCCCUGAUGUCAUCCAGAAUUCCUCUCAGUGUCUGUGCUCAUCUAAGUCACAUGAU
Erpetoichthys calabaricus (reedfish) is the source of this 439-nucleotide long non-coding RNA. RefSeq lists it as uncharacterized. The record is from RefSeq and is a predicted model, not a curated record. The transcript has 3 exons. Lineage: Eukaryota; Metazoa; Chordata; Cladistia; Polypteriformes; Polypteridae.